Molecule: ribosomal RNA, 253 nt
Filed under: uncultured bacterium
Lineage: Bacteria
Description: partial 16S ribosomal RNA
Rfam family: Bacterial small subunit ribosomal RNA
Source: RNAcentral
UACGUAGGGCGCAAGCGUUGUCCGGAAUUAUUGGGCGUAAAGAGCUCGUAGGCGGCCUGUUGCGUCCGCUGUGAAAUCCCGGGGCUCAACCCCGGGCCUGCAGUGGAUACGGGCAGGCUAGAGGUAGGUAGGGGAGAAUGGAAUUCCCGGUGUAGCGGUGAAAUGCGCAGAUAUCAGGAGGAACACCGGUGGCGAAGGCGGAUCUCUGGGCCAUUACUGACGCUGAGGAGCGAAAGCGUGGGGAGCGAACAGG